Hevea brasiliensis (rubber tree) is the source of this 659-nucleotide long non-coding RNA. RefSeq lists it as uncharacterized. The transcript is spliced from 3 exons. The record is from RefSeq and is a predicted model, not a curated record. NCBI's taxonomy places the organism in Eukaryota, Viridiplantae, Streptophyta, Magnoliopsida, Malpighiales, Euphorbiaceae.
UUCAUCUCUUUCUUUCUUCCUAGUUUCCCCUAAAAAAUUUCUACACCAUCAUUUUUUAAGUUCUUCAUAAUCAUCAUCGAAAUCCAUUCCCCUUGAACAAACUCUUCUUUUUCACUAUCCCACCUCCAUUUUCUUCAUAAAAUCACAAAACUCAUAAGUUUCUUUUUUCUUCUUCUUUUCCUCUUCUUCUCUCUUUCUUCAGUGCGCCUCCAUCUCCUUUGUGUGAUUCAUGCUCAGCCAACCACUGUGCCACGACCAAUGUUGGUCCUCUGGUGUUCAUCCAUGCUAUCGGUUCAUCCCUAUCGCCAUUCGUAUGCCAUCACUAGCUAUGGGUCUCUCUUUCACAUGAUUCGUGUUUCCUCAGCCCAUUUUCAGUGCCACUUUGGUUUUCUCACUACCAAUCUUUCCCAUGGUCAGUAUCAACCCCAUUUCCAUAGCAGCGAGAGGUGUUUCUAUGGGUUUCUCUUCUUCACUUGGUAGCUCUUCAAGUGUUGGUCCCUCUACUAUAGGUUCUUUUAAGACAAUAAGUGUUCUUAUCUCAUUUUUGUUACUCUUCUACUUACUUUCCCUAGUGCUUUCUAAUUGUCCUUAACUCCUCUGUUCAUUCAUUUUGCAGAACCUAAGUGUGGCCAAUGUCAUUAUUGGUCCUUUGCAUACUA